RNAcentral lists this ribosomal RNA (437 nucleotides) under uncultured Bacteroidales bacterium. Its description in RNAcentral is "bacterial SSU rRNA". It matches the Rfam family "Bacterial small subunit ribosomal RNA", at positions 947 to 1382 of the family's 1533-position model. Lineage: Bacteria; Pseudomonadati; Bacteroidota; Bacteroidia; Bacteroidales. The record is from RNAcentral.
CAAUUCGAUGAUACGCGAGGAACCUUACCUGGGCUUGAACGUAUGGUGCAUUAGGGUGAAAGCCCUAUUCUAGCAAUAGACUUCAUACGAGGUGCUGCAUGGCUGUCGUCAGCUCGUGCCGUGAGGUGUUAGGUUAAGUCCUGCAACGAGCGCAACCCCUGUUUCCAGUUGCCAUCAAGUAAAGUUGGGGACUCUGGAGAGACUGCCUGCGCAAGCAGAGAGGAAGGUGGGGGAUGACGUCAAGUCAGCACGGCCCUUACGUCCAGGGCUACACACGUGCUACAAUGGCCGGUACAGAGGGCAGCGACCUGGUGACAGGUAGCGAAUCUCCAAAGCCGGUCUCAGUUCGGGUCGGAGUCUGCAACUCGACUCCGUGAAGCUGGAUUCGCUAGUAAUCGGAUAUCAGCAAUGAUCCGGUGAAUACGUUCCCGGGCCUU